UGCAACAUAAUCUUAAGCCUGAUCUUGAAUUUGUCCUCAUCAAACUCUUUUUCAUUAGAUAUCAAAGCGAGAACUUAAUUGUGGGUGAUGUCUACUUUGCCUUGGUUUCU
Long non-coding RNA from Telopea speciosissima, 110 nucleotides. RefSeq lists it as uncharacterized. The record is from RefSeq and is a predicted model, not a curated record. The transcript has 2 exons. NCBI's taxonomy places the organism in Eukaryota, Viridiplantae, Streptophyta, Magnoliopsida, Proteales, Proteaceae.